This 216-nucleotide long non-coding RNA is filed under the name Olea europaea (common olive). RNAcentral's name for it is "long non-coding RNA (OEUR_LNC000160)". Lineage: Eukaryota; Viridiplantae; Streptophyta; Magnoliopsida; Lamiales; Oleaceae. The record is from RNAcentral.
CGUGAAUGUGUGAAAAGAGCAUAAACAAAUUUAGCUAUUUAUGGGAAAACGCGUAGAAUACACUAUAAAUGUUAUGAAUUAUUUUGUGUAGAACAAAGAUAGUCACAGAUAGAGAGGAAAACAAAUUGGGGACGUGAAUUUCUUAUUUUCAACAAUCAAGGUAGGAUACUUUUAUGUGCAAGUGUAUGUCCUUUCAAUAUUAUGAUUUUUAUGCGU